UCCCCCUCCUCUUCUUCUCCCCCCCCUCUUCCUCUUCUCUCUUCUCUUUCUUUGCCCCCUAGUUCAAGAUUUUUGUCAGUCAUACCAGAAAAUUUACUUUUUCAUUGAUCUCCAAAACACCACCCUACCAAUCUACUGAUUUUUCUUCCUUCUUCUGGAGUGAUGCGGAUGGAGCAAUGGGUGGAUGGAGAUCUGGGGUCCAGGGGUCUUUUCUGUGUCUCCCUGAACUAAAAAUGCUGAUAACUCUUUUGGGUUUGGAGAGCAAGGACUUGUAUCACUGCCUCCUAGGGACACACUAAGAGGCUCAGUGAGGACACAAAGCACGGUUUGUAGACCCUUAAGAGUCACGUUAGUGAUGCUUCCUUUUACUGAGAGAGAAGCCAUUAGACCAUUGACUUGAUUUGGAAUGAGGCGACGGAUCUUGUGGGCCUGGCCCAGGGAUGGCGCCGCCAGGAACUUCACAACAGGUGAGGAACAGACAACAAGUCAAGAGAAAACCAGAAGGUGUCCAGAGAGAAGGCCCUGUGUGGGGGAGACCAUGGACUGUAAGGAGCAGCCUCACACCUCACUGAGAUUGCAAAUGGGACAACCACAAAGGUUUGCUUUCCAUAAUUCUUCAACCAUCCAUGAUCUACUCUAUAUACUAAAUGAAAAACUGCAGAAAGUGUCUAUGCUGGGUACACUACCCACCAAGGUAAACCAUCCCUCUCCAGGGUGGCUGUGCUGUGUACAACACCCACCAAUACAGAGCAUCGCUCCCCAGGGUGUCUGCUGUAUACACUCCUUAUCUAUGGCUCUAGGAAUUCACCGGGGGUCUUCAAACACAUCCCAGAGAAGAAGAAGCCACUAUCGUAAUGAUAUACAUAUUUGCUACAGUCCCCGGUUUCCGGCACAGGCCUCCUGAGUCACAGUGAGUUCCUUCAGCUGUCUCAGUUCACAGUAAGGAUGGUGAUAACAUGUAAAUGGAACCAGACUAGCUUUGGGAUGGAGCCAGACACGGGAAAGACUGAUUAGAGAACUAGAACCUUCAUCUGUGCUCCUAUCAGGGUGACCACAGCCAGAGAUUGAGCUCUACAAAGCAUCAUGGACAAGGAGAUCUGAUGGGGUUGUGGAUAGUGAAUACGAUCACAGGCCAGAAGGCAUUGUACCCACUCUAUGAGAGCAGAAGCUCCUGUAUACUGGAACCUUGUGAACCCCGCCCAAUGUACUUCUCCAUCAAAUUCGUCACUAUCCCCUAUUAUAAUGAUAAAACGAAGGUUUUUUUUCCCUGGGGCCUUUUGAGACUUCCUAGCAAGUCAUAAAAAUGGAGGGUGUACACAGAGACAUAGUUUAUAGCUGGUCACUCAGGAGUGCAGGUGACCAGGUGGAAGUUGAGAUCAGAUGUCCAAAGAUGGCAGAGGUAGGGGCAGUCUUGAGGGACUAUGUGCUUAGCUUGUGGGGCAGAUUCAGUUUCUAAGUAGAGUGUGCUCUGGGAACUGUGCAUAUGUGUUUCCUCUCCUCUCACACUAGUGUACUUAUAUGGAGAGACCAGUAAGAAGCAGCUCAGAACCAGCUACUUGCAUGACUACUCUGUUUCAAUAGACAGCCAGUGUCCUCCGCUCCAGUGUGGGCUAAAUAUAAAACUCUUAGAAGGAAGCAAGGCCCACAGGUCCAUUGAUGGCAUGCCACAUGCUCUCAAAGUGUCAUUCACUUUGGGACAGCCUGGUGCCUUCCUCCACCUAUUCUUUAGAUUCUCGUCUGAUAUCACCUGGCCCUUCCGGCAAUGCCACAAAAGGUUGGACUUCCUCCCUUCCACUUUAACAUUUACCUGUUUUCUUUCAUCCUAACUGCUUUUAAAAAAAUUUCUGUGUGUGUGUGUGUGUGUGUGUGUGCGCGCGCGCGCGCGCGCGCGCACAUACACAUGUGCAUAUGUGUACAUGUGUGUAUGUGUACGUUUGUGUGUGUGCUUUUGUACAGAAGUUAAAGGUCAGUGUCAGAUGUGAUAGUUUGUAUUUGCUUGGCCCAGGGAGUGUCACUAUUAGAAGGUGUGGCUUCAUUGGAGUAGGUGUGGCCUGGUUGGAGUAGGUGUGUCACUGGGGGCUUGGGCUUAAGGACUUUCUUCCUAGCUACCUGGAGGCCAGUUUUCUCCUAGAAGCUUUCAGAUGAAGAUGUAUAACUCUCAGCUGCUGUGCUCCCACCUUGAUGAUAAUGAACUGACCCUCUGAACCUGUAAGCCAGCCCUAAUUAAAU
This is a long non-coding RNA of Apodemus sylvaticus (European woodmouse), 2229 nucleotides long. RefSeq lists it as uncharacterized. Lineage: Eukaryota; Metazoa; Chordata; Mammalia; Rodentia; Muridae. The transcript is spliced from 3 exons. The record is from RefSeq and is a predicted model, not a curated record.